Molecule: long non-coding RNA, 1317 nt
Filed under: Sinocyclocheilus anshuiensis
Lineage: Eukaryota; Metazoa; Chordata; Actinopteri; Cypriniformes; Cyprinidae
Description: lncRNA (ENSSANG00000027943.1)
Source: RNAcentral
AUGCUCACCAUGAGGCUUAUUUUUAGCAAUUUGCUUCUGUUUCUUGCUCUCGGACCCUGUUUCAAGUCCACUGAUGCACAAGAGACAACAACAGAGACAGAUGCAAACAUCACCAUCACAUUACCGAACAAUGACACUGUGGAGUCAAAGUUAAGUUCUGAAAUCACCAUCACCACAUCUGAAAAUACAAUUACUCUACUACAGACAGAAACGGAUCCGCAUAAUCCAGAAACCACACUUGUUAAUCAAGUAAGCACCAUGCUUGAGAAACCAGCAUUUGAGAGUACUCCACCACUCAGUACUGAGAUCGAACAAACAUCACCAGAAUCUGUUCCUGAAACAACAACUGUACAAACAGAGCAGACCACAGUGACCACCCCUACUGUGCCUGUUAAUGUGGAAACAACAGUGACUGAACAAAUAACUUCAGACGCCCCAAGCACAAGCCAAUAUGAAACAAUUGUUGGCUUCACUGAGUUAACCAGUCCUACAGAACGUCCUAUAGAUGAAAUCACCACAGCAGCUGUGGCCAUGACCACUGAUUCAACAGAAGCCCUCGAUCCCACAUCCUUCCUGAUUGAAUCCCCAGCAGACUGGUCUGAGUCUCCGUCCAUCAUCUCCAACCCUGUGGACACCAGCACUGAAACCUCCACUACAAGUCUAACAUCAACUUCUCAGCUCCCUCAAAAUACUGCUGCACCCGUGCACCCGUACUCGAAGUUUGAUGAAGAAUCAGUCUCCAACCAUUUCACCCCCACCACCACCAGCGUAAUUAUCGAGGAAAGCAGUCUGCCCAUACAAACCAGCUGGUUAUUAAUAAUGAUAGUGUGUGUGGCCAUUAUUUUUGUGCUAUGUGUGGGCAUGAUUCUGUUCGUCCAGUGGCGAAAGAAAAACGCCUCAAGAAAUUUCGGCCCCAUGUAUGUAGACGGACAAAGUAAACGGUCCAAGAAGAAAAAAGGGGGGGAGGAUGAUGCAUGGGCGGGGCCUGUCAAUCUGGAAGCGGGAGCUGAAUGUGAUGCUGAGGUACAGGAUGGUCUUCUGCCUAAUAAUGGGAAACCGGAUGGAGAUGAUAUGAUGCUCAGCACAUUCGCCGCUCUGGAUGCAGGAGACAUGUCUAAUGGUGGAGUGGGUGGGGACGGUACCAAGGAGGCUAAGAAAUGGGAGGAGCAGGAGCCUUUGAUUUACAUAGAUGAGGAUGUGAAUGAAGACAAGACAGGAAAAACACUGGCAGAGAACGAGACACUGAAAGGAGAUGAAAAAAGUGAAGAGAAGGGGAUGAAUGGAGGAGAAACAUUCUGUCUCACCACAGCUGUUUAA